UGCUAACACGGUGACAGAAGCAGAGUGAAACCGAGGGGUGCAAGCGUUCACCUGAUGUAGUGGGGUUAGCAGCUCUGGAUGCGGACCUUUAAGUCAAUGGUGAAAUCCUAUAGUGGAACUAUGAAACUGCGAUUGAUACUCCAGGUCUUGAGUAAAUUUGAAGUGUCGGGAAUAAGUAGUGUAGCGGUGAAAUGCAUAGAUAUUACGUAGAACACCAAAUGCGAAGGCAUGUCACUAAGAUUUAACUGACGCUGAUGGACGAAAGCGUGGGUAGCGAACAGGAUUAGAUACCCGAGUAGUC
This 301-nucleotide ribosomal RNA is filed under the name uncultured Methanolinea sp. RNAcentral describes it as "partial 16S ribosomal RNA". It matches the Rfam family "Bacterial small subunit ribosomal RNA", at positions 495 to 795 of the family's 1533-position model. The record is from RNAcentral. Lineage: Archaea; Methanobacteriati; Methanobacteriota; Methanomicrobia; Methanomicrobiales; Methanoregulaceae.